AAUAGAUACCCGGUAGUCCACGCCGUAAACGAUGAGUGCUAAGUGUUGGGGGGUUUCCGCCCCUCAGUGCUGCAGCUAACGCAUUAAGCACUCCGCCUGGGGAGUACGGUCGCAAGACUGAAACUCAAAGGAAUUGACGGGGGCCCGCACAAGCGGUGGAGCAUGUGGUUUAAUUCGAAGCAACGCGAAGAACCUUACCAGGUCUUGACAUCCCGGUGACCACUAUGGAGACAUAGUUUCCCCUUCGGGGGCAACGGUGACAGGUGGUGCAUGGUUGUCGUCAGCUCGUGUCGUGAGAUGUUGGGUUAAGUCCCGCAACGAGCGCAACCCUUAUUCUUAGUUGCCAUCAUUCAGUUGGGCACUCUAAGGAGACUGCCGGUGAUAAACCGGAGGAAGGUGGGGAUGACGUCAAAUCAUCAUGCCCCUUAUGACCUGGGCUACACACGUGCUACAAUGGACGGUACAAACGGUUGCCAACCCGCGAGGGGAGCUAAUCCGAUAAAACCGUUCUCAGUUCGGAUUGUAGGCUGCAACUCGCCUACAUGAAC
This 548-nucleotide ribosomal RNA is filed under the name uncultured bacterium. Its description in RNAcentral is "bacterial SSU rRNA". It matches the Rfam family "Bacterial small subunit ribosomal RNA", at positions 777 to 1325 of the family's 1533-position model. The record is from RNAcentral.